Long non-coding RNA from Sarcophilus harrisii (Tasmanian devil), 439 nucleotides. RefSeq lists it as uncharacterized. The transcript is spliced from 2 exons. NCBI's taxonomy places the organism in Eukaryota, Metazoa, Chordata, Mammalia, Dasyuromorphia, Dasyuridae. The record is from RefSeq and is a predicted model, not a curated record.
AUAAGCUUUUGUCUUUUUAAGGGACAAGAGAGCAGGCCUUGGGAGCUGAGAUGGGACCUUUAGUGGCUAUAAAUGCGGAUUUACUUGGAUUUGGAAUGUAUGAGCUGUGUGACCCCUAAACAAGAAACCCUUUGUCCCUUUAUGUCAAUUUACUCUUCUGGAAAGGGAUAAUAAUAUCAUCCACCUCCCAAGGUGCAGUUGUUUCCCAAUGGAUGUUUCUAUAUGGGCAUUUAAAUGUCAUCAUUGUAACCUGCCAAUGGAGAUGAGAUGUUCUGUCCUUGGGAAUGAAUUCAACUGAAUUAAGACCACCACAGUCAGAGGGGAUUUAGUUUUAAUAAUGGGUUUUCCUUCAAAUGUUAAUGACAUCACAUUGUUUAUUACAUUGUUGUGUUUCAAAAUGUUCUUAUAUUGGAGAAUGUGGUCAAUUUGGAAACAUUGG